AAUGAACGCUGGCGGUAUGCCUAACACAUGCAAGUCGAACGGCAGCACAGGAAGAGCUUGCGCUUACGUGUGUCGAGUGGCGGACGGGUGAGGAAUACAUCGGAAUCUACUUUUUCGGGGGGGAUAACGUAGGGAAACUUACGCUAAUACAGCAUACGACCUACUGGUGAAAGCAGGGGAUCUUCUGACCUUUCGCGAUUGAAUGAGCCGAUGUGGGGGUAGCUAGUUGGCGGGUUAGAGGCGCACCAAGGCGACUAUGCGUAGCUGAUCUGAGAGGGUGGUCCGCUACACUGGAACGGAGACAGAGCCCCGACUCUUAGGGGAGGCAGCAGUCCGGACUCUUGGACAAUGGGGGAAAGCCUGAUCCAGCAAUACCGCGUGGGUCAAGAAGGCCCUCGGGUUGUAAAGCCAUUUUGUUGGGAAAGAAAAGAAGCACGUUAACACGCCGCUGUACUGACGGUACCGAAAGAAUAAGCACCGGCUAACUUCGUG
RNAcentral lists this ribosomal RNA (492 nucleotides) under uncultured bacterium. RNAcentral's name for it is "partial 16S ribosomal RNA". It matches the Rfam family "Bacterial small subunit ribosomal RNA", at positions 29 to 507 of the family's 1533-position model. The record is from RNAcentral.